This is a non-coding RNA of Equus caballus (horse), 5899 nucleotides long. The record is from RefSeq and is a predicted model, not a curated record. NCBI's taxonomy places the organism in Eukaryota, Metazoa, Chordata, Mammalia, Perissodactyla, Equidae.
GAGGCAGCCGACCGGCGGCGGGCAAGCUUGCCGGCCUGUGUUUUUAGGUUGUGGGGCCCAGCGUCUUUUCUGUUUUUUUAAAGAAAACUUCAAAAGUGUAAACCUAGGUUGGGCAUUAAAUACAUAUUUUUAAAUGCCCCCAGUAUCUUUGAUGCAUAGCAUUUGUGGACUGAGAGACCCCGCUGGCCAAAGGGGUUACGUGAAAAGAAUGUAGGUUUGUGUGGCUGGGGGCUGAACCCAGACUGGCGUCUUCGGAGUCCGCCACCAAGGCUGUCCUGGAGUAUUUCUGAGUGUGGACUUGGUACUCUCCGGAAGCUCAGUACUGUCCUGCCCCUCCGGGGUCUUUAGAGAAAGGCGACAGCUGUUGUUUAAAUAUUUAGCUGUGUGGCAAUAAGGCAUAUAGUUAGAAGUACUGCAAAGAUCCUGCAAAUUCAGCAGUUAUUUUGCUUCCUCAAAAAGAAGAAAAACUAAAGUUACUUUUUUUUGCAAGAAAAAAUUGGGCAAAACUUUACAUUUGUGGAGGGAUUACAAUUCCCAUUUUAGAGAAUUGAUUUUAUCUGGAUUUAAACUUUUACCAUUUUUUAAGAACAGUUAACAUUGGAGGAAAUUUCAGUGCUAGCAAUAAAAAUGUUAACUUGAAGCUAGCCACUAGUUUUAGUUUUUUGUAAUGGAUUAUGUAUUUUUAUGGAUUGAAGGAGUUUCACUAAACAGACAUGCCAUAGAUGUAACUCGACUUGGCUUUCUCUUUACGUUUGUUUUGUUAUCCUCUACCCAUAAUGUUAUAUAAAUGCAGUAAUAUUAGCAGAAUGUAUUAAGAAAUUUUUAAAAUGUGUCCCAACUCCAUCCAGUUAGGUGUUUAAAAUCCUGUUAUGGGCUUUCUCCAUACUCACUAUGAAGUGUGAGAUGGUCCCUUCCUCUAAAGACUGGCUGUUACACAUGGAGGUAUAUCUAAUAACCACUAAAAAAAGUUUAAUUUAGCUUUGAGUCAGUGAAGAUUGAAUUUGAUCUGGUUUUUAGUGGCCGUGAAGUUAACACAAAAACUUGGAAGGAAAAGUUGAGUGUGCAAGCUCCAACUAUUUUUCCAAGAAAACCGCUCAAACUUCAGAGGAAUGAUUAAAAGUCUUCAGAUGCUCAUCGGUGGUCCUUCAAAAUUUCUCUUUCCCAGAAAUAUCAGGAAUCUCUGCUGCAGUCUAAGUCCCUCCCCGAGAAUGUGUGGGCAGCUGGGCGGAGCCUAAGGCUGAGCCCUCUCGGUGACCUCAGCGGAAAGGAGCCAGCGAGCGUUGGACUGAGCAGAUAUUCUCGCGUCUUCAGAUGGAUUUUAAAAUUGAACACACUUGGGAUGGUUUUCCAGUGAAGCAUGAGCCAGUGUUUGUCAGACUAAAUCCAGGUGACAGAGGAGUGACGAUGGAAGUUAGUGCUCCAUUUUUCAAUGAUCCUCCAGCUCCACUUGGAGAACCAGGAAAGCCUUUCAAUGAACUGUGGAAUUAUGAAGUUGUGGAAGCAUUUUUCUUGAAUGACCUAACCAAACAGUAUUUAGAAGUUGAACUUUGUCCCCAUGGACAGCAUUUGGUGCUUUUACUCUCUGGAAGAAGAAAUGUGUGGAAACAAGAACUUGCUCUGUCAUUCAAAGUAUCCAGAGGAGAGACAAAAUGGGAAGGCAGAGCUUAUCUUCCUUGGACCUAUUUUCCACCAAAUGUGACAAAAUUCAAUUCAUUUGCAAUUCAUGGAUCUAGUGAUAAAAGAAGCUAUGAGGCUCUUUACCCUGUACCUCAGCAUGAGCUGCAACAAGGACAAAAACCUGAUUUCCAUCGUUUGGAAUACUUCAAGCCUUUCAAUUUUAACACACUGCUUGGAGAAGAAUGGAAACAACCCGAAUCAGACCUGUGGCUAAGAGAGAAACCUGAUAUAUAGGAGUGUAGUAGAUGACUAUAUCAAACAUUUCUUCUCUAUAUCUUUUAAGGCACUGCAGUACCUGGAGUACAUCUCUUGAAGAGAUAGCUGUGCUGAAAUAGAAAACCAAACUAUAAAUGGAGGCAUUCCAAGAAGUAAAAAUUGUGCUAAAUACAAAGUUGGAAUAUAGAAUUACCACAACAUGGGAGAGUUUAUCAGCACUGCACAGGCCUGUGACUCUCAAGUUUAAACCUGGGGUUCAAGACUUAUUGAUGGAAGUGAAUACUCCUUUCUGUGAUGUUCCCCAGCACUGCCAGGGGAAGCAGGACAGCCUUUUGAUGAACUCUUGGAGUAGGAAGGUAGGAAACAUACCUCUGUUGAAUAACUUGACCAAGAUCUCACAGCUGGUAAGUGGCAGAGCUAAACUGGAGUCCAGGCAAUCUGGCUUCGGAGUCCAUGCUCUUUAAUCCUCAUGCUAUUGCCUCUGUGGUUAACUUAAUAAUCAUUAUAUUAACUUGAGUUGCUAAGAUAAUUUCUUCAAAAUGAAUGUUAUAUUUUUCACACUUGUUUUAAUUGUGUGGAAAUUCACAUCUCAAAGAGGAGAAUAGUUUCAAUGAGUAAAACCCAAAUGUUUUGCAGUUUUAAUCAUAUAAAUGCAUAAAAUAUUAAAAACAGAAAACAAAAAAUAGUGCCCAUAUUUGAAAAUCUUGAAUAUUCAUAAGACUCGAAAUAUUUUGAUUUAUAGACUUAUACUGUACCUCUAGAUACUUUGUGAUUUAGUAAAAUCCAGUCUCCUGUAUUCAUCAGAAUUCUUUUAAUUAUAAAUGAAAGAAGUACAACUCAAGGAAAUUUGAGCAAAAACAGAGAAUUGUUGUCUCAGGUCCUUAAGUAGCUUAGACGUGGACUAGCUGGCCUGCCUCAAGCUUCCUCAAUCCAAAGAUUUAGAAUGAUGUCAACGGUUAUUUCUCUCUUGCUCUUUUUUCUUCUCACACUCUCAUGUUUUAGCUCCCAUUCGUCUCUACACCUCUUCCACAUCUCUGUGUGUCUAUCUUAAUUUUUUUCUUUUCUCCUACAGAGAGAGGCUUCUUUUAUGUCGUAGUGGUGAGAGAGAUGACUCAGGCAGUUGAAAAUUUACACAUAUCCAAGCUUAGCCACCUUAGAGGAAACAGAUUUCUUCUUCCCACUUCAGUAUAUAAGGAGGCUAUAAUACUGUAAUUGACAGCCCUGCCAGAAUUACAUGGUUGGAAGAGUGAGGAGCAGUUCUCCAAAGGGAGUGAGGGUUCUCAGAAAAAGGGAGAAGGAAAAUCUGGCAGAGGGAAGGGACUGGCAUCCAUUAUACCUCCUCGUCACUGGUACAGUCAUUAUAUCAUUCUCAAAUAUAAAUCCUUGUGGGUUAUUCAAGUUCAUGUUUUCUUUCUUCUUUUCCAUCUGGAAUCCUGCCUUUUGGCAAAUUUUCUGGAGUACUGAAUGGAAAAACAAAUGUGUGUAAGCUAUUUUGCCAUACACCAGGAACUGCUAAAAUACGUUGUUCUUGGGAGAUAAGAUUGAAAUUAUUAGCAUUUUAAUUUCUUCUGUUAAAAGCAUUUGUCUUGUGUAGUCCUGAGAUAAAUAAGAAAAUCAAGAGUUUGUCAUUUUGGCUUUUUCAAGUUCUUAUGUGUUAAGACUUCUCUGAGUAUCUAAUAGGUAUACUUAAUUAACCACAUUUCUUGCCAAUUUGAAGAUUUUAUUAUUUAGGUUAUAUAUAAAGGUAAGCAUUUUACUGUAAGUAGUUAUUGCCUAUAUAACAUAAUUUACCUUGUCUUUCUAAGGCAGGAUUCUGGAAGGAAGUAAAUUAUCUUGGUAUGUUAGAAGAAGUUCUUCUUCAUUUUGUCUUAAUAGAGCAUCCGUCCAUGUAGUUUCUAAUUCUUGAAAUAAAUGUGUGUAAUGAAGAAAAUGAAAUCAUUUUUAUGUAAAAAAUAUGUCUUGAUUACUGAUUCAUUUAUUUAAAACACUUUUUUUAAAGUGCCUACUAUGCUCCAGGCACUGUUUUUGGUGCAGGGGAUACAAUAAUGAAAAAAAAAUAGGCCAAAGUUCUUUCCUCGUGGAAAAGUGUGAUUGACUUAUAAAUGACAUUUAUUGAGGACUUAGUAUAUGCCAGGCUAUGCUAAGCACAUUACACAUAUUAUCUUGUUCAGUCUUUGCCUGGGAAGGAAGUAGUCUUAUUUUGCCCAUUUUAUAGGUGAGGAAGCUGAGGUAUACUAAUCCCUGGCAGAGCAGGGAUUCAAACACAGAUUCAUCUGACCUGGAAUCCAUGCUCUUAAACAGCACUGUGUUGCUUCCAGUGCCCAGAGCAUUGGCAGGUACAGAGUCGAGUCUCCAGAAAUGAUCGUUGAACAAAUGUAUUUCUGAGCCCUGCUUAUAACAAUGGCAUUGUGUUAGGCACUAGAGACAGUGCAAAGAUUAGUGUGAUAUAGUCCUUUCCUUUAUUUACUUUAAUUAAACUUAUUAAUGAAUUGGAGGGAGCCAUUAACUAAGAUGUUUAUAAAGUGACAGAAUCUAGGGCAGAUAGAAAUAUAAGUAUGGCAAAAGCCAACAGACAUCAUGUUAUAAAUUAGAGUAGUAAAUUACUCCAUGAUUGUAACCUGAAUCAAUCAAACAGUCUCCAACUGCUACUAUGAAUGAUUAAUGAAAGGAAUUUUGAGUUCCAAUCAAAUUAAUCUCAAAACCAUGAGACAUCAUUUUAUUUCUGUACUCUGAAUCUAGAGCUUGCCCUCUAGAUUUUUGAACUUAUUUGUUUGAAAUUUUGUGGUUGUUUUUUAAAAAGGGUAGACAUAUGUGAAACUUGGUAUUCUAUAAAAAUGGUAAUUAACGCAAAAUUUUUUCUAGUUAUCCAGAUGUAUUUCCUAGUAAUCUAUUCCUUGUUUAUAAGUCAUUUAGUUCUAAACGUUGCCUUUUCAUCACUCCUUCCUCUUCUUUCCUCAUUCGCGACGGCCCUCCCACUUGCUCUCCCUCCUCCCAACUUUCCUUUUCCUACCUGGCAUAGAAUUGUAGAAUAUUAGGGCUGGAAGAAACUUUAAGGGCCAUCUAUUCCAAGCUUUUAUUAGUUCAGAAAUCUCUCCUUCCAUCUUGUUGGUGGAACACAUUAUCCAACCUUUGUUUGAAAAGAAGAUCUAGUGUUAGAAGUGCAAUAGCUUCUAAAGAAUGCCAUUGUUAGAAAGUAAUUUCCUCUAUUGAAUUGAAACUCACUUCUACGCACUUGCUAGGUGUUGUUCCUAGUUUUGCCUUUUAAAUGAACAAAAGCAAGUUUUAUUUCUCAUCUAUGUGAUAAGUUUGACCGAAACCUAAUCACAGGGCCACAUCUAACUUCAAGGGAGGCUGGGAAAUGUCACCUCUAGCCAGACAGUCACAAGCCAGCUAAGCCCAAUGGUGUCUGUCAUUAAAAGGUAAGAAGAGGAGAAUAGAUGCUGUUGGACAAUCAGCAGUAAGCUGCAUGUAGAAAACAGGAAAUCAAGUAAACAUAAGCAUCAUUUCUGUGUUCUUCUAUGUGGUGGUCAGUCAGCUGCAGCCACAGAGGAGACACAGGAGAGGUUCAAGAAAGCAAAGCUUGUUAUACUCAUAGGUCCUAGAAACAGGAGGCACGCCGUGCCAUGAAGGGCCACAUGGGAAAGCACUAACAUGGGUCAGGAGGCAUGGGGGCAGGAGGGAGGGGAGCCUAGGCCACUGCAUUUAUUGGAGCUUCUGAGAGAAAGGCAAGUCAGAGCAGGGUAAACAGUUUAGGAUUGGCUAGUUUGAAUAAUUUUGAUGGGCUCUAAGCUCUAAGGGUGGUCCCUAGUUUCCACCUGACCCUGGGAUGGUUAAGGCAGAGACUAUUGCCUCCUGGGGUGUAUGGCCAGAUGGAGGAGGAAUGGCUCUGGAUUGGUUAGUUUACACAUCAAGGUUGUGCUCCGCACUGGGCCCUUUGCUAUCUCUAAGAAUUGGCUAGUCCAGGGUGGGGCAGUCUCUCCCCAGCCAGAAAGGUUUUUAAAGAUGU